RNAcentral lists this ribosomal RNA (403 nucleotides) under bacterium. RNAcentral's name for it is "partial 16S ribosomal RNA". It matches the Rfam family "Bacterial small subunit ribosomal RNA", at positions 355 to 776 of the family's 1533-position model. The record is from RNAcentral.
UGGGGAAUAUUGCACAAUGGGGGAAACCCUGAUGCAGCGACGCCGCGUGAACGAAGAAGGUAUUCGUAUCGUAAAGUUCUGUCCUAUGGGAAGAUAAUGACAGUACCAUAGAAGAAAGCUCCGGCUAAAUACGUGCCAGCAGCCGCGGUAAUACGUAUGGAGCGAGCGAUGUCCGGAAUUAUUGGGCGUAAAGGGUACGCAGGCGGUUUAAUAAGUCGAAUGUUAAAGAUCGGGGCUCAACCCCGUAAAGCAUUGGAAACUGAUAAACUUGAGUAGUGGAGAGGAAAGUGGAAUUCCUAGUGUAGUGGUGAAAUACGUAGAUAUUAGGAGGAAUACCAGUAGCGAAGGCAACUUUCUGGACACAAACUGACGCUGAGGUACGAAAGCGUGGGGAGCAAACAGG